Long non-coding RNA from Humulus lupulus (European hop), 463 nucleotides. RefSeq lists it as uncharacterized. The record is from RefSeq and is a predicted model, not a curated record. The transcript is spliced from 3 exons. NCBI's taxonomy places the organism in Eukaryota, Viridiplantae, Streptophyta, Magnoliopsida, Rosales, Cannabaceae.
GUUAAAUACCGAGAACAUUAUACCGACAACAUGUCCUCGGUAUAGACAUUUCAUAUGCGCGGGACAUUUUCGCGGUUUUGAAUAGGUUUAGUUGCUAUACCGAGGACCUAUACCGAGAACAUGUUCUCGGUAUAGGGUUUAUAAAUAUCACACUCAGCCGCGAAGCCCCUUCUCCUUCCUCUCUGGUUUCUCUGGGUUUUCUCCGAAACCUCCGCCUCCCUCCGCCGAUUAUAGCCGUUUUCCUCCAUAAAAGCUCGGUUUUAAGCCCCAAAAUUGCCAAGGGUGAAGGAAUUUCUGUGUAUUUGUUGAAGGUUGGGUAUUCGGUUUUUGUUGGACUAUAGGGAUUGCUAGCAAGAUAUUGAAGGCAUUGAUAUGGCUGAUGUUAUUGCUCAAUCUCACGGGGGUGAUGGUGGAGGAUGCGAUCCUCCACGUGGACCGUCAGAUAUCCCAGCUGAUUGUGAAC